UGCAUUUUAGUAUAUGAUGUAUAAGAGUUUUUGAUACUUUAGGAGGUUGUUUAAUUCUACCAGGUGCAA
Molecule: transfer RNA, 69 nt
Filed under: Bifidoprionus rufus
Lineage: Eukaryota; Metazoa; Arthropoda; Insecta; Coleoptera; Cerambycidae
Description: tRNA-Gln
Source: RNAcentral